Molecule: long non-coding RNA, 547 nt
Organism: Homo sapiens (human)
Lineage: Eukaryota; Metazoa; Chordata; Mammalia; Primates; Hominidae
Exons: 2
Source: RefSeq, a predicted model, not a curated record
UGCUUUCACUCUGCAGCCCUCAGCUCCCAGCCCCUUACACUGGUUUCCCUCUUGAGCAUUAUCUGCUCAGUGAUGACCUCUGAUCCAUUCUGCCAAUAGUUAUCCCAGACUCUUUCUGUCUCUCUACAGAGAGAAGGUGUGGGUGGACAAAGCAAAGCAGAGCCCUGACCUCACACCAGCUGGCUGAGCUGUCUUGGCUUGCAUUUGCUGUUCCAGCAUUUGUGGAGUUUGAAAUCUGCAUGCUUGGAGUGCGGAGAGCUGGAUCUUGCACCACAGUCUCCCUGUGGGCUCUUGAAUGAGAAAACCAGGGGAAGCAGAGGUAAGAACCUGUUCAAGAAGGCACAUCUCAGAUGUGGAAGAACCAUGAUUCAACUCGAGUCUGUCUGCUUCCCAAGACUGUGGUAUUUAAACAGCUUAUAAUGAAAAUUCCUUCUAUAGCUCCCCAUAAAAGGGCACACAGUUCUUUCUUAACGUAUUAUUUCAGGCAUUCAUUCACCAUUGAUGUAUUUGUGAAGGUGUUCUCUCUAAAUAAACUAUUGGGACCUUA